UGAGGAAUAUUGGUCAAUGGACGAGAGUCUGAACCAGCCAAGUAGCGUGAAGGAUGACUGCCCUAUGGGUUGUAAACUUCUUUUAUACGGGAAUAAAGUGAGGCACGUGUGCCUUUUUGUAU
RNAcentral lists this ribosomal RNA (122 nucleotides) under uncultured bacterium. RNAcentral's name for it is "16S ribosomal RNA". It matches the Rfam family "Bacterial small subunit ribosomal RNA", at positions 355 to 474 of the family's 1533-position model. The record is from RNAcentral.